CUCUCUCUGUCACUUGCAUCUUCUGAUCCUUUCCUCCAAUUUUCAGGUACUCCUUUUUUUUUUAGUUCCUCCCUAAUUUCAUAUUUUUCCGUUAUCUUUUGUCUUCCUUAGUUUGAGUGAGGUUCUAUUUGGGCAUCUAAAGUUUUCGUCGUCUUAUUUUUUUCCGGCUAUUCAUAAUUAUUGGAGAUGACAUCGUAAACUAUUGAGCUGGAAGUAAUCUAAUUUAACUUUAAAAAUUAGUUAAGUUGGUUCUCAAAAAGUGAAACGCGACAGUUAAUUUGAGACACAGAAAAUAUUACUUUGUUAUCGAUUUGAUUCAUUGGUCUGUAUAUGGACUUCCUUCCCCCACCUACCCCUACAAACUAGUAAAGCUGAUUUUUGCUGCUUCACCUCUUUAUGUCCCUCUUUACGUUGUUAGUAUCUGGAUUUUGGCCUCUUUCUCCUUUUCUCACCAUUUUCUACAAUAUAACAACUAAUACCAGUAGUAGUAUCUCUCCGAAAAACAAACCAAUAUUAAAUUUUGAAACAUCAAUUGAUCAGAAAUAUCUUGUGGUUUUAGAAAAAAAAAUAAAAAAUUUACAUUGAAUUUUCUUAUUGCUUUCUUUGUCAGAUCAUCCAUUAUUAUUGUCUCAGCUAUUUUGUUAAUUCUCAUUGCUUUAUUUCAUAUUUCAGUCAUUUUCGUUGCAAUUAUUGUUCUUGCAUGUGGACUUUGGUAGUUGUUAUUUGCUUUCCUUUGGUUAUCGCUGCUUAAUUUUUUGGGUUAUUGAGUGAUAUUUUUACUUUGCACAUAAAAAUGCAUCUUCUACUGUUAAUUCCAGUUUUUUUUUUAUCAGUGAUAUGUGGCUGUAGACUUUAAAUUCUUCCAUUAAUAAUGGAGAGAAAGAGAGACACUAAAAUGGAAAGUGUACUCUUUUAAGGAAAAGUUCACUAAUUCUCCCACAUUGGUGGGAGAAGGGAACUUUGAAGUGUUUAUAAUAAGCACUUACUCCACAUGGAUAGUGAGGCAAAAACAAGGUGGUGCCUCGCGCCGUUGUCGUCGCUCGGCUUCAGCCUUGGCUUUGGAUCAAUUGAUGAGAUCUAUUUUUUAAGACAAAUUUUAUUUCUUUUGAUCGUCCAUUUAUGUGCAUGCAUGCAGUGGCGGAAACACUGUUUCGAAAUGCAGUGCAGAAGCGAAUUGAUGGUUCGGAAGGGAUGCAAUCCUUCAACGAAAUGACACACUGAUUCAUGAGAUGGUAUGCCUUUUCGGAAAAGACACAUUCUUAGGAGGAAUAGACAUGAUUUUUCAGAAAGGUUAUACCUUUUAAGUGAACCAUUGCCACCUUUCAAAAGAGGCACCUGAUGGCAAUAAAACCUACUUUCAUCCACAGGUUUUGGUACGAAAAUUUUUUGAAAUACAAACUCUUCUUGUCUUCAAAAACAUUCUGUGUGAUCAAUCAAAUCGUUGAGUGAGUUCGUUGAAUUCAACAAUUUGAGAUACCGCAAUUGUUCGGAUCAAUUUUUUUUUUAAAUAAAAUACAUUUGGUUCAAUAUGUAUGGAAAGUGUGAAUAGAAAAUGGAGGAAAAAUAGUGGAGAGAAAGAGAGAUACCAAAAUGGAAAGUGUACUCUUUUAAGGGAAAGUUCACUAAUUCUCCCACAUUGGUGGGAGAAGGGAACUUUGAAGUGUUUAUAAUAAGAAACACUUACACCACAUAGAUAGUGAGGCAAGAACAAGGUGGUGCCUCACCCUGCCGUCGUCGCUCGGCUUGGCUUCGGCUUCGGAUCGAUCAGAUUUAUUUUUUUAGACAAAUUUUAUUUCUUUUGAUCGUUCAUUUAUAUGCAUGCAUGCAGUGGCGGAAACACUAUUUCAAAAUGCAGUGCAGAAGCGAAUUUAUGCUUCAAAAAUGAUACAACCCUUCAACGAAAUGACACACUGAUUCAUGAAAUGGUAUGCCUGUUCGGAAAAGAUGCAUUCUUUGAACGAAUAGACAUGAUUUUUCAAAAAGGUUACACCUUUUAAGUGAACCAUUGCCACCUUUCAGAAGAGGAACCUGAAGGCUAUAAAAACCUGCUUUCAUCCACAAGUUUUGGUACAAAAAUUUUUUGAAAUACAAAUUUUUCUAGUCUUCAAAAAUAUAUUGUGUGAUCAACAAUUUGAAGUACCGCUAUUGUUCAGAUUGAAGAUAAUUUUAUCUUAGGAGGAAGAUUCCAUAACCUCGGGUGCAAUGAGGAGAAUUGUUCUUUAAGGACACUCCGUGAAGUCGGGGGACUUGGUCUUAAAAUUCUGUUUAAUCUUUUUCUGAAAUUUGACAUACUUCUUGGAUAGAUUAUUUAUAAUCUUGUGUUGAAGGUGUUAAGGAACUUCAUAAGUGUUCUUGUUUAUACAUGAACUUACGUUGAAGUUGUUGUUGCAUUUAUACAAAUUCUUCUACCCGAAAUAUUAUAAAUAACAAUCUUAAGUUAAAGAUUUGAAGACAAAAAUUUAACUAGUGAUUUGAAGACAAAAUCUUUAUCACAAGUUCAAGAUCACUCGAUUUGAAUUUAACUAGUAAUUUGAAGACAAAAUCUUUAUCACAAGUUCAAGAUCACUCGGUUGACGAUUUUAAGUGAUAAAAACUUCAUCGUUUUACUAGAAACAAGAAGUGUUUAAAGUUGCUGCAACUUUUUAAUAAGUAUUUCGAUAUACUAAAGGUACUGUCUUGUGUUGACAGGAAAAUGACGACUGAUAGUCAAAUGCAUGAUGCUGGAACGACUAUGGCGGCAUCUAGUAUUGUCACGACGAGUCGUACUAAUUCUUCGCAAGCUAUGGCAUCGAUGGAGAAACCCGAAAAGUUCAUGGGUAUUGACUUCAAGAGAUGGCAGCAGAAAAUGUUCUUCUACCCCACCACUCUCUAUCUUCAAAAGUUCACGGUUGAGGAAGCUCCGAAGGUGCCUAAGGGAACCUCUGAAAAGGAACGUUUUAUGCUUGUGGAGGCUUAGAAACACUCAGACUUCCUUUGCAGGAUUUAUAUCUUGAGUGGCCUCUUAGAUGACCUUUACAAUGUAUAUAGCGGAACCAAGACUGCAAAAGAGUUAUGGGGAGCAUUAGAACGGAAGUACAAGACGGAGGAUGCCUAAACUAAAAAGUUCUUUGUUGCAAGAUUUCUGGAGUACAAAAUGAUAGACAAUAAAUAUGUUGUUUCACAAGUGUAGGAACUGCAAGUGAUUAUCCAUGAUCUCCUAGCGGAAGGUAUAAUUUUGACAAGUAAAUUUGUUGAACAAUUUAAAUAUGUUCUUAGUAUUCACAUGAACUUUAUUACAGGUUUGAUUGUGAAUGAAGCAUUUCAAGUAGCAACAAUAAUUGAGAAGCUACCACCAAUGUGGAAAGACUUUAAGAACUACUUGAAACACAAACGCAAGAAGAUGUCAGUCGAAGAUCUGAUUGUACGAUCACACAUUGAAGAAGAUAAUAAGGCUGUAGAAAGAAGGCCAAGAGAUAAUUCUGCAAUGGGUGGAGCAACCAUUGUAGAAGAUGACCAAAACAACUCCAAAAAGCGAAAGAAAGUUGGAAAUGAAAGCAAUCAAUCUAAGAAGUAGUUCAAGGGAAAGUGCUUCAACUGUGGCAAGAUUGACCACAAGUCUACGGAUUAUCGUGCCCCGAAGAAAGGGAAGAAGAAGGACCAAGCAAAUCUGGCUGAGUAUAAGAAAGAAAUGGAUGAUCUGUGUGCUAUUCUUUUCGAAUGCAACUUGGUGGGAAAUCCUCGCAAAAGGUGGAUGGAUUCUGGUGCCACCCACCAUGUUUGUGCUAACAAGGAGUUGUUUUCGACAUUCGCUCAGGCUCAAGUAGAAGAAAAGAUCUACAUGGCAAACUUCGCUACUGCUAAAGUAGAAGGAACAAGAAAUGUGUGCUUGAAGAUGACUUCUGGCAAAGUGAUGACACUUAAUAAUGUCUUGUAUGUUCCGUAGUUACCAAAGAACUUGAUUUCAGUUUCACUUCUAGACAAAAGUGGAUUCAAAUGUGUAUUUAUUUUUGAAAAAAUUGUACUUAGUAAAGGAGAAGUGUAAGUAGGAUAAGGCUACCUCAAUGAGGGCCUAUUCAAAAUGAAUGUUGAAAUCAAUAAAAGUUCAAAUUCUUCUUACUUUCUUGAGUCUUCCAAUUUGUGGCAUGAACGUUUAGGCCAUAUAAAUUACAAAACGUUGCGUAAAAUGAUUAACUUAGAAGUUUUGUCAAACUUUGAGUGCAAUAAAUCAAAGUGUCAAACGUGUGUGGAAUCAAAGUAUGCUAAGCAUCCAUAUAAGUUCGUUGAAAGAUAUUCCAAUCCCUUAGACUUAAUACACACUGACAUUUGUGGUAUGAAGUCAACACCAUCACGAGGUGGAAAAAAGUAUUUCAUAACUUUUAUUGACGAUUGCACUAGAUAUUGUUAUGUCUACUUGCUAAAUAGUAAGGAUGAAACAAUAGAUGCGUUUAGGCAAUACAAAACUGAAGUUGAAAAUCAGUUAGAGAAAAAGAUCAAAACUAUAAGAAGUGAUAGGGGCGGAGAAUAUGAAUCUCCCUUCGCCGAAAUAUGUGUAGAGAAUGGAAUUGUCUAUCAAACUACGGCCCCAUAUUCACUUCAAUCUAAUAAAAUUGCGGAAAGAAAAAAUUGAACUUUGAAGGAAAUGAUGAAUACCUCACUUAUAAGUUCAGGUUUACCGCAAUACUUGGGGGGUAUCUUUACAGCCAACCAAAUACUCAAUAGAGUUCCCCAUAGUAAGACACGAUCAAUUUAUUUUGAAAAAUGGAAAGAAGGAAAUCGAACUUGAAAUAUUUCAAAGUGUGGGGUAUCUAGCAAAGGUCCAAGUUCCUAAUGCCUAAAAGGGUUAAGAUAGUACCUAAAACGGUGGACUGCAUGUUCAUAGGAUAUGCUAAAAGUAGUAAAGCAUGUCAGUUUUUAGUUUAUAAAUUCAAACAUCCGGAUAUUAAUGAAAAUACAGUAAUUGAGUAAGAUAAUGUUUAAUUCUUUGAAAAUAUUUACCCGUAUAAAACUAGACAUGAACAGUUUAGUGGAGGGUCUAAACAACCUCGAGAUGAACUAAGUGAGAAUGUAGAGAAUCCAAGACAUAGUACACGUCAAAGAAUGUCAACUUCAUUUGAUCGAAUUUUGUAAUAUUUCUCUUAGAAAAUGAGCCUCAAACAUUUAAGGAAGCAAUGGCGUUUUUGAACUCAUCUUUUUGGAAAGAGGCAGUCGAUAGUGAGAUUGAUUCAAUUUUAAGCAACCAUACGUGAGAGUUAGUUGAUCUUCCUCCAGGAAAUAAACCUUUAGAUUCUAAAUGGAUCUUCAAAAGAAAAAUGAAAACUGAUGGUACUAUUGAUAAGUACAAGACAAGACUUGUUGUAAAAGGCUUCAAACAAAAGGAAGACCUUGAUUACUUUGAUACAUACUCGCCGGUAACAAGGAUAACGUCGAUUCGAAUGUUAAUUGACUUGGUGGUGGUAUAUGAUCUUGAAAUCAAUCAAAUGAAUGUGAAAUGCGGAAGAAAUUUACAUAAAAAAAAUUUGAGGGUUUUGUGGUUCCGGGAAAAGAAAAUAAGGUGUGUAAACUUGCUAAGUCAUUUUAUGGACUAAAAUAAACACCUAAGCAAUGGCAUGCAAAGUUUGACCAAACCAUGUUGGCAAACGGAUUCAAAAUUAAUGAAUGUGAUAAAUCUGUUUAUAUUAAAGACACUCCAACACACCAAGUCAUUGUGUGUUUAUAUGUGGAUGAUAUGUUGGUCAUCAGUAGAGACACUUCAGACAUAAAUGCAACGAAACGAAUGCUCGAGAGAAAGUUCGAUAUGAAAGGCCUUGGAGUUGCGGAUGUGAUCUUAGGGAUAAGAAUACAUAAAACUCCACAAGAGUUGGCAUUGUCACAGUCUCAUUAUAUCAAAAAGGUACUUGGCAAAUUUAAGUAUAUGGAAUUCGGUAUUUCCAAGACUCCAUUGGAUGUGAGCUUUGCACUUCGAAAGAAUGAAAGUGAAAGUGACUCACAAUUAGAGUACGCAAGGAUGUUUAAUAUAUAUAAUGAACUGUACACGACCAAACAUAGCAUGCACUAUAGGUAAGUUGAGUCUGUACACGAGUAAUCUUAAUAAAACACAUUGGAUGACAAUGAAAAGAGUUUUGGGUAUCUUAAAUACACUAAAGACUAUGCUUUGCAUUAUAAUAAAUAUCCUGCGGUACUUGAAGGAUAUAGUGAUGCAAAUUGGAUCACCGGAUCAAACGAAGUAAAAUCCACGAGUGGAUAUGUAUUUACUAUCGAUGGAGGAGCGGUCUCUUGGAAAUCAUCCAAACAGAUUUGUAUUGCUCGCUCUACAAUGGAAUUCGCAUUGGAUAAAGUCGGUGAAGAAGCAGAAUGACUCCAGAAUUUCUUUGAAGAUAUUUCUUACUGUCCCAAACCAGUGGCACCAGUAUGUAUAUACUGUGAUAGCCAAACGACAAUAGGUAGGGCAGGGAGCAUGAUGUACAACGAUAAAUUUCGUCACAUAAGAUGGAGACAUAAUACCGUUCGAGAACUUCUCCCUAGUGGAAUUAUCAAUAUUGACUAUGUGAAGUCAAAGGAUAAUGUGUCGGAUCCACUUACAAAAGGCCUAUUUAGAGAAGGAGUUGAGAGACCAUCCAAGGAAAUGGAUUUAAGCCCUAGGAUAAGUCAGCAUGGUGGUAAAUCUACCUAGCAGACUGGAGAUCCCAAGAGCUAGGUUCAAGGAGAUCAAACAAAGUUAUGUCUGACAGGUUCAACAUGGUCAAAUACCCAACCCAUUCUCAUGAUGUAGACAAUGUUUAGUAAACAACGAUAAGACUUAGGGUGUGAAAUCUUUUAAUGAUUAUCUAAAUUUGGCAGAUUUAACCAAAUAGUUUAAUAUAUAGGAUUGAACAUUUAGAAAUCACUUAUGUGAGGGUGAAGUGGAAGCUUCUUCAAGGAGAAUGUUAGUAAAGGCCUAUUCUCUAAGCUCUCAUGAAAUCAGGACAUGUUCAUGGCUUAAAGGAACAAAACCAUGAGAACCAUAAAUGGUAAAAGGCUGGUUGUGUGACAUGUGUUGUCUAGGUGUACAUUAAAGCUCGACAGUUCAAAGAUAUCAAAUCUAUCGAUUGACCGAGUGCAUCCGAUGUAAGUUCAAAGGGAAAUCCACUUAUCCAGAUGCAAUCAGUCUUUGUUUGAUGAUCACAUACUUGUCCGUAAAAUUUUAUGAAAAAGUAUCCAUUCCUCAUUCAUGUGGGGAUUGUUGGGUUCAAUAUGUAUGAAAAGUGUGAAUGAAAAAUAGAGGAAAAAUAGUGGAGAGGAAGAGAGACACCAAAAUGGAAAGUGUACUCUUUUAAGGAAAAGUUCGUUAAUUCUCCCACAUUGGUGGGAGAAGGGAACUUUGAAGUAUUUAUAAUAAGAAACACUUACUCCACAUGGAUAUUUAGGCAAAAACAAGGUGGUUCCUCGCGCCAUAGUUGCUCGCUAGCUCCGCUCUGAUUCGGCUUCGAAUUUGGAUUUGGAUUUGGAUUGGCAAAUGAUCGAUCGAUGAGAUGGAUAAAUUUUAUUUGACAGAAAUUUAAUUUGAAAAUACCAAAGGAAAAAACACAAUAAAUUUUUUCCGUGUUUUUGAUACUCCAUUUAUAUGCAUGCAUGUAGUGAUGGAAAAACUGUUUCGAAAUGUAGUGCAGAAGCGAAUUGAUGCCUCGGAAGGGAUGCAACCCCUCAAAGAAAUGACACACUGAUUCAUGAAAUGGUAUGCCUGUUUGAAAAAGACGCAUUCUUUGGAUGAACAAACAUGAUUUUCCAGAAAGGUUACACCUUUUGAGUGAACCAUUGUCACCUUUCAGAAGAGGCACCUGAUGGCUAUAAAAAUCUUCUUUCAUCUACAGGUUUUGGUAUGAAAAUUUUUUGAAAUACAAACUCCUCUUGUCUUCAAAAACAUUCUGUGUGAUCAAUCAAAUCGUUGAGUGAGUUAAUUGAAUCCAACAAUUUGAUGUAUCGCUAUUGUUCAGAUUGAAGACCAUUUUAUCCUGGGAGGAAGAUUCCAUAACCUCGGGUACAGUGAGGGGAAUUAUUCCUUAAGGACACUCCAUGAAGUCGGGGGAUUUGGUCUUAAAAUUCUGUUUCAUCUUUUUCUGAAAUUUAACAUACUUUUUGGAUAGAUUAUUUAUAAUUUUGUGUUGAGGAUAUUAAGGAACUUCAUAAGUAUUCUUGUUUAUACAUGAACUUGUGUUGAAGUUGUUGUUGCAUUUAUACAGAUUCUACCUGAAACGUUAUAAAUAAUAGAUAAUAGUUUGACCUUUGAAGGGCAAAAAUAAAGUGCAUUGCUUGUUUGAAUAGUUGGAACUUGAAGUUGAUCAGGAACCCCUAUUGACAAAUUAAUAUAUAGUUGAAGAUUUUAUGAUACCUCAUGAGAAUGGUCUCCUACGGUGACCUUGAUAUACUGAUCAAUAACAUUUUGAUAAACAAUUUUGUUACUCGACAUGAACUUUGAAAUGCAAUUUUAUAAAUUGCUCAAAGUGAUUGUUUUUAAGCUCUGGUUUUAUCUUUGUCUGCAGUGGCGAUCCAGGAUUUAAGGCUUGUGGGUGCUUAAAAAUUAAAAAGUUAAAAAAUAAAAUAAAAAAUCACCUCAACAAGGUUUGAACUCGGGACGUCCCUUUAGUGGAGAAGCUUAAGAUCAGCUUAAAUGCCAAUGCACCCAACAAACUUUUAUUUCAGUGGGUGCAUUUAUAUAUUUUAUACCUAUUUUCGUAUAUCUUUUUAUGUAAUUAUACCUAUUUCACGUCGAUUUUACUUGGUGCCGGAGCACCCCGAAAUUAUAUGUAGGUUCGCCCGUUUGUCUGUUACACUUUCUUUCACAAAAUGAGCAUUCUUUGUUCAACAGUCUCUAGCAGAAAUGUAAGGUAAGACUGCGUACAAUAGACCCUUGUGGUCGGGCUCUUUUACGAAUCCUACACUUAACGGGAGCUUUAGUGCACCCAACUGUCUUUUUAAUCCAAGUAUUUCAAACCUCUUAUACACCGUCAUGGCUUUUAUUUCAAAAAUCGAUAAUGUGCUUUCCACGUUGGUUGGUUUAUAAGUUAGUAAUGUGCUUUACCACAUGUAAGUGAAAUCUUCUGUUACUGGCAUAAUAGUUAUAACUUACCAGGUUCUUCCCAUUCCAUUUGUUUUCUCCAGGAGGUUUGUAGAGAAAAUAAGAUCUCAAACUACUUUCUUUUUACCCCAAUGCAGUUUGUGUUUAAAAAGCUACAUUAAAAAUCAUAAGUAUAUUUGACAGCAAACGCCUUGAAGGUACGUUGUACAACUGAUCCUACUGCUACUUCACUCUCUACAUUUAUCAUUUAAACAUGUUUCCUAUUUUAAUAGGCAACCCAUCGAUAAUAGCCCCCUACAGGUAUAUUUGUCUACCACGUCGUCACUCGGCUACAACAAUUACUUUGAAGAGCUAAAUGGCUGCCAUCGACAUAGUUGCGAGCUGCAUUACUAAUGCCUUUGCCUUUAUCAGCUUCUCUAAAUAAUGUGGAUACAUGGACAGACAAAUGCUUCACCUAGGGAACUUCUUCCGUUAUAUUUGUACUGUUUAUAUGUAUAUUAACAGUUUACAACGUUCUAUUACUAUCCAAAAAAUAAUU
RNAcentral lists this long non-coding RNA (9569 nucleotides) under Capsicum annuum. Its description in RNAcentral is "long non-coding RNA (CANN_LNC012569)". Lineage: Eukaryota; Viridiplantae; Streptophyta; Magnoliopsida; Solanales; Solanaceae. The record is from RNAcentral.